GGGUUGUGAGGUUAAGCGACUAAGCGUACACGGUGGAUGCCCUGGCAGUCAGAGGCGAUGAAGGACGUGCUAAUCUGCGAUAAGCGUCGGUAAGGUGAUAUGAACCGUUAUAACCGGCGAUUUCCGAAUGGGGAAACCCAGUGUGUUUCGACACACUAUCAUUAACUGAAUCCAUAGGUUAAUGAGGCGAACCGGGGGAACUGAAACAUCUAAGUACCCCGAGGAAAAGAAAUCAACCGAGAUUCCCCCAGUAGCGGCGAGCGAACGGGGAGCAGCCCAGAGCCUGAAUCAGUGUGUGUGUUAGUGGAAGCGUCUGGAAAGGCGCGCGAUACAGGGUGACAGCCCCGUACACAAAAAUGCACAUGCUGUGAGCUCGAUGAGUAGGGCGGGACACGUGGUAUCCUGUCUGAAUAUGGGGGGACCAUCCUCCAAGGCUAAAUACUCCUGACUGACCGAUAGUGAACCAGUACCGUGAGGGAAAGGCGAAAAGAACCCCGGCGAGGGGAGUGAAAAAGAACCUGAAACCGUGUACGUACAAGCAGUGGGAGCACGCUUAGGCGUGUGACUGCGUACCUUUUGUAUAAUGGGUCAGCGACUUAUAUUCUGUAGCAAGGUUAACCGAAUAGGGGAGCCGAAGGGAAACCGAGUCUUAACUGGGCGUUAAGUUGCAGGGUAUAGACCCGAAACCCGGUGAUCUAGCCAUGGGCAGGUUGAAGGUUGGGUAACACUAACUGGAGGACCGAACCGACUAAUGUUGAAAAAUUAGCGGAUGACUUGUGGCUGGGGGUGAAAGGCCAAUCAAACCGGGAGAUAGCUGGUUCUCCCCGAAAGCUAUUUAGGUAGCGCCUCGUGAAUUCAUCUCCGGGGGUAGAGCACUGUUUCGGCAAGGGGGUCAUCCCGACUUACCAACCCGAUGCAAACUGCGAAUACCGGAGAAUGUUAUCACGGGAGACACACGGCGGGUGCUAACGUCCGUCGUGAAGAGGGAAACAACCCAGACCGCCAGCUAAGGUCCCAAAGUCAUGGUUAAGUGGGAAACGAUGUGGGAAGGCCCAGACAGCCAGGAUGUUGGCUUAGAAGCAGCCAUCAUUUAAAGAAAGCGUAAUAGCUCACUGGUCGAGUCGGCCUGCGCGGAAGAUGUAACGGGGCUAAACCAUGCACCGAAGCUGCGGCAGCGACGCUGAUGCGUUGUUGGGUAGGGGAGCGUUCUGUAAGCCUGCGAAGGUGUGCUGUGAGGCAUGCUGGAGGUAUCAGAAGUGCGAAUGCUGACAUAAGUAACGAUAAAGCGGGUGAAAAGCCCGCUCGCCGGAAGACCAAGGGUUCCUGUCCAACGUUAAUCGGGGCAGGGUGAGUCGACCCCUAAGGCGAGGCCGAAAGGCGUAGUCGAUGGGAAACAGGUUAAUAUUCCUGUACUUGGUGUUACUGCGAAGGGGGGACGGAGAAGGCUAUGUUGGCCGGGCGACGGUUGUCCCGGUUUAAGCGUGUAGGCUGGUUUUCCAGGCAAAUCCGGAAAAUCAAGGCUGAGGCGUGAUGACGAGGCACUACGGUGCUGAAGCAACAAAUGCCCUGCUUCCAGGAAAAGCCUCUAAGCAUCAGGUAACAUCAAAUCGUACCCCAAACCGACACAGGUGGUCAGGUAGAGAAUACCAAGGCGCUUGAGAGAACUCGGGUGAAGGAACUAGGCAAAAUGGUGCCGUAACUUCGGGAGAAGGCACGCUGAUAUGUAGGUGAAGUCCCUCGCGGAUGGAGCUGAAAUCAGUCGAAGAUACCAGCUGGCUGCAACUGUUUAUUAAAAACACAGCACUGUGCAAACACGAAAGUGGACGUAUACGGUGUGACGCCUGCCCGGUGCCGGAAGGUUAAUUGAUGGGGUUAGCCGCAAGGCGAAGCUCUUGAUCGAAGCCCCGGUAAACGGCGGCCGUAACUAUAACGGUCCUAAGGUAGCGAAAUUCCUUGUCGGGUAAGUUCCGACCUGCACGAAUGGCGUAAUGAUGGCCAGGCUGUCUCCACCCGAGACUCAGUGAAAUUGAACUCGCUGUGAAGAUGCAGUGUACCCGCGGCAAGACGGAAAGACCCCGUGAACCUUUACUAUAGCUUGACACUGAACAUUGAGCCUUGAUGUGUAGGAUAGGUGGGAGGCUUGGAAGUGUGGACGCCAGUCUGCAUGGAGCCGACCUUGAAAUACCACCCUUUAAUGUUUGAUGUUCUAACGUUGACCCGUAAUCCGGGUUGCGGACAGUGUCUGGUGGGUAGUUUGACUGGGGCGGUCUCCUCCUAAAGAGUAACGGAGGAGCACGAAGGUUGGCUAAUCCUGGUCGGACAUCAGGAGGUUAGUGCAAUGGCAUAAGCCAGCUUGACUGCGAGCGUGACGGCGCGAGCAGGUGCGAAAGCAGGUCAUAGUGAUCCGGUGGUUCUGAAUGGAAGGGCCAUCGCUCAACGGAUAAAAGGUACUCCGGGGAUAACAGGCUGAUACCGCCCAAGAGUUCAUAUCGACGGCGGUGUUUGGCACCUCGAUGUCGGCUCAUCACAUCCUGGGGCUGAAGUAGGUCCCAAGGGUAUGGCUGUUCGCCAUUUAAAGUGGUACGCGAGCUGGGUUUAGAACGUCGUGAGACAGUUCGGUCCCUAUCUGCCGUGGGCGCUGGAGAACUGAGGGGGGCUGCUCCUAGUACGAGAGGACCGGAGUGGACGCAUCACUGGUGUUCGGGUUGUCAUGCCAAUGGCACUGCCCGGUAGCUAAAUGCGGAAGAGAUAAGUGCUGAAAGCAUCUAAGCACGAAACUUGCCCCGAGAUGAGUUCUCCCUGACUCCUUGAGAGUCCUGAAGGAACGUUGAAGACGACGACGUUGAUAGGCCGGGUGUGUAAGCGCAGCGAUGCGUUGAGCUAACCGGUACUAAUGAACCGUGAGGCUUAACCUUACAACGCCGAAGGUGUUU
This 2933-nucleotide ribosomal RNA is filed under the name Escherichia coli. Its description in RNAcentral is "23S ribosomal RNA". It matches the Rfam family "Bacterial large subunit ribosomal RNA". Lineage: Bacteria; Pseudomonadati; Pseudomonadota; Gammaproteobacteria; Enterobacterales; Enterobacteriaceae. The record is from RNAcentral.